GAUGUGAUGGGGAGCGAAAUUUAGUAGCGAAGUAGCUGAUCUCACACUGUCAAGAAAAGUCUCCAUCGAGGUUAAAGGUAUCCGUACCGCAAACCGACACAGGUGGGUGAGGAGAGUAUCCUAAGGCUAGCGAGAGAACUGUUGUUAAGGAACUCGGCAAAAUGACCCCGUAACUGAGGGAUCAGCGGUGCCACCAUCAGGUGGCCGCAGAGAAUAGGCCCAAGCGACUGUUUACCAAAAACAUAGUUCUGCU
RNAcentral lists this ribosomal RNA (253 nucleotides) under Clostridioides difficile. RNAcentral describes it as "partial 23S ribosomal RNA". It matches the Rfam family "Bacterial large subunit ribosomal RNA", at positions 1560 to 1825 of the family's 2925-position model. Lineage: Bacteria; Bacillati; Bacillota; Clostridia; Peptostreptococcales; Peptostreptococcaceae. The record is from RNAcentral.